AAUGAACGCUGGCGGCAGGCCUAACACAUGCAAGUCGAGCGAAGUCUUCGGACUUAGCGGCGGACGGGUGAGUAACGCGUGGGAACAUGCCCUUUGGUGCGGAAUAGCCCCGGGAAACUGGGAGUAAUACCGCAUGUGCCCUUCGGGGGAAAGAUUUAUCGCCAAAGGAUUGGCCCGCGUUGGAUUAGGUAGUUGGUGGGGUAAUGGCCUACCAAGCCGACGAUCCAUAGCUGGUUUGAGAGGAUGAUCAGCCACACUGGGACUGAGACACGGCCCAGACUCCUACGAGAGGCAGCAGUGGGGAAUCUUAGACAAUGGGCGCAAGCCUGAUCUAGCCAUGCCGCGUGAUCGAUGAAGGCCUUAGGGUUGUAAAGAUCUUUCAGUGGGGAAGAUAAUGACGGUACCCACAGAAGAAGCCCCGGCUAACUCCGUG
Molecule: ribosomal RNA, 433 nt
Filed under: uncultured bacterium
Lineage: Bacteria
Description: partial 16S ribosomal RNA
Rfam family: Bacterial small subunit ribosomal RNA
Source: RNAcentral